UACGUAGGUGGCGAGCGUUGUCCGGAUUUACUGGGCGUAAAGAGAGCGUAGGCGGACUUUUAAGUGAGAUGUGAAAUACCCGGGCUCAACUUGGGUGCUGCAUUUCAAACUGGAAGUCUAGAGUGCAGGAGAGGAGAAUGGAAUUCCUAGUGUAGCGGUGAAAUGCGUAGAGAUUAGGAAGAACACCAGUGGCGAAGGCGAUUCUCUGGACUGUAACUGACGCUGAGGCUCGAAAGCGUGGGGAGCAAACAGGAUUAGAUA
RNAcentral lists this ribosomal RNA (261 nucleotides) under uncultured prokaryote. RNAcentral's name for it is "partial 16S ribosomal RNA". It matches the Rfam family "Bacterial small subunit ribosomal RNA", at positions 524 to 784 of the family's 1533-position model. The record is from RNAcentral.